UUUGAAGAAGGAAAAGAGCACUAAGGUCCAGCACGACCUGGCAAAAUUGGCCAUUUUCAAUUCUUUGUUCUAUUCCCGUUACUCGUCAACGAGAAAAGAGGGGCAGCUGUAAUAGCCCAUUUUCUCAGGCCCCGUUAAAACCCAAAUAAUAAAUAAAAAUAAUAAAAUAUAGUCCAAAUUACAAAAAAAAUAAUAAGUCCAUCAAAACCCAAACAACCCUAGCCCAAAUACGAUGGGGCCCAAAACAAAUUUUUAGAAGCAGAAGCCCUAGUAGCUUUAAUUCUUCGGCGCCGAAGCAAUCGCUCCAUCACCCCCACGUCGCAGUAACCUCACCCACAUUUAGC
This 344-nucleotide long non-coding RNA is filed under the name Gossypium raimondii (Peruvian cotton). Its description in RNAcentral is "long non-coding RNA (GRAI_LNC000694)". Lineage: Eukaryota; Viridiplantae; Streptophyta; Magnoliopsida; Malvales; Malvaceae. The record is from RNAcentral.